GCAUUGGCUUGUGGCCAGUGCAGUGCCGCAGGGAAGCCGUUAAGUUUGCCGCCUGGGAAGUACGUACGCAAGUAUGAAACUUAAAGGAAUUGGCGGGGGAGCACCACAAGGGGUGAAGCCUGCGGUUCAAUUGGAGUCAACGCCAGAAAUCUUACCCGGGGAGACAGCAGAAUGAAGGUCAAGCUGAAGACUUUACCAGACAAGCUGAGAGGUGGUGCAUGGC
This 223-nucleotide ribosomal RNA is filed under the name uncultured archaeon. Its description in RNAcentral is "partial 16S ribosomal RNA". It matches the Rfam family "Archaeal small subunit ribosomal RNA", at positions 776 to 998 of the family's 1478-position model. The record is from RNAcentral.